This is a long non-coding RNA of Olea europaea var. sylvestris, 2011 nucleotides long. RefSeq lists it as uncharacterized. The record is from RefSeq and is a predicted model, not a curated record. Lineage: Eukaryota; Viridiplantae; Streptophyta; Magnoliopsida; Lamiales; Oleaceae. The transcript is spliced from 2 exons.
GGUCGCAUGAGGCCCUCUCGAGAAUGGGAGGGCUGGCAAAGCUAUAGUCAUGUGACCGCAUGGCUAUAGCCUAUGUGGUCGCAUGGUUGAUAUUUGUGAUCGUUGUGAGCUGUUUUUGACCCUUUUUUAUUUGAAAUUAGUGGUUUUUCAUCCUUGUUUUGCACAAUUUCAUGAAAAACUUGCCAAUGCCUAUAAAUAGGUGAUCCAAGUGUAAGAAAGACAUAUUGAGUUCUAUUGAAAUUUAUCCCCCAAAUUAUACUUCUAAUACUGAGAAAAUUUAUCACAUAAUUCGUCCAUUUUUCACUUGUUCAUUGUGAAGAUACACCUUUGCUUUUUGGUGUUUUUCUUAUCAAGGUUUGUUUAAUCCUACAAAUUAUUUGCCGAAAAUCCCUAAAAAGCAUUGGGAAGGAAGCAAAUAACGUUUGAGGACAGCUAAAUUAAUUUCGUGUUUAAGCCUUCGUUGAUAUACUUAUAUAAUUUUCUUCUCCAUUGCCAUUAUUUUUUCAACAUUUCAUUUGAAGCUUCUGCAGUGAGGAGUGUGAACGUUGUUACUAAUAUCAAAGUAUUCACCUCCAGAAUUCAAUGAUUCAUCUAAAUCUAAUUUCAGAGGGCUGGACACUAAAGUUGAUCUGAAUGGAAGCAGUUCAGACACAAGAAGUGAGCUUCCGUCAAUGUGCCCAGGGAAAUCAAUUCUGAUUUGCGGCAGAGUUCCAUUUCUGCAGUUGAUUGUGAAAAGGUCAAAAUAGACUUCGAAGUUGGAUGGCCCUGAGAAAGGCUAAGUAUUGUGCAGGAAGGAAAAAAGAAACAUAGACAAACAGUGGGUGGAAUUUUCAAGUAAGUGUAUGUUUUGUUCAUGCAGACUGUAUCGACCAUUAAAGGAGAUAUUUUGCAGGGACAGGUCUUUUUCUUUAUUUAUUUAUCGGUAAAUGUGAAAUUCUAUUGAUUAAAAAUCAUAUACAAAUACACGAGGCAUACCUGCGCAAACAACAUUCAAGUGAAGAUUAAAAAUACAUUGGGCAUAUCUGGGCAAACAAAAUGAAAGAUGUACAAAUGAUAAUAGUUAUGAGCCCAAUGCUAAAGACUCAAAAUGGUUUAAAACAUGAACAUGACUUUGUAUACGUAUGCUUUAAUCCGUCUAAUAAUACAAUCAACUUGGGGUCUAAGGUUCUCAAAUAUCCUCUUAUUUCGCGCCAUCCAUAUGUGGUAAACUGUAGCAGCUAAAGCAAUUCUCUUGACCUUACUUUGCCAAGCCGUUCCCCAAGCUUCCUUCUUCACCCAUUUCAAUGAGCUUGAUAAAGUAGGCAUAUUACGUGUGAUGGCUGGCCAACUGCAAAUCUACCCCGAAACUGAAAUUCAGAAGUUGCCUGAACGCUAAAUCUAUUGCCACAACCCAUUUGGCCAGCUUGUGCAUUCUUGCCUGAACGCACCGUUCAGGUCCCAUGAUGCUGUCCCUGAUUUCCAACAAUUUUUUAAGCAGGGGAGAGUUGUCUUUUCUCACCAUGCAUUCCCAAAUGAUCGACAGGUCUUUUUCUUAGUCAGAUGGAAAGUUACGUGGCCAGGCAGGCAAAGAUAAGCUGGCAAACUGAGGUUAGAUUGUCUUUAUCAUAAAAAUACUUGGUUUUAUCUCUGUCCAUACUAUCCUCCCUUUGCAUGCAUGUCAAGCCAGUCAUCAAAGACUACCAGCACACUUGACAGCAAGCCUUACAACUGCAGGAUUAGGAUCUGUCUAGCAUUGGAAAGAGAUGGUAUACGGUUGAACUUCUGGAGGAUAAACCACCCCAGAUUCCAGGAGAUUUGACGGCUAGCUAGCAGAACCUGGAAAUGCUGCAAGACAGGCUUCCUUUCCCAGUCCAAUCUCUAAGAUGUGCUGUUGGUAUUUCAUAUCCCCAUUUGUUUGAAUGUUAUGCGAUGCGUACUUGGACAUGGUUAGAAUUUGAAUAUAAUUGGAAUAACAUUGCCAUCCACAGGUGUAAAGCUAUACUAUGUUACAUAUUUGGUGAGAGUUUUCAUA